CAUCCCUAUACAUGCAAGUCGAACGAACUCUGGUAUUGAUUGGUGCUUGCAUCAUGAUUUACAUUUGAGUGAGUGGCGAACUGGUGAGUAACACGUGGGAAACCUGCCCAGAAGCGGGGGAUAACACCUGGAAACAGAUGCUAAUACCGCAUAACAACUUGGACCGCAUGGUCCGAGUUUGAAAGAUGGCUUCGGCUAUCACUUUUGGAUGGUCCCGCGGCGUAUUAGCUAGAUGGUGGGGUAACGGCUCACCAUGGCAAUGAUACGUAGCCGACCUGAGAGGGUAAUCGGCCACAUUGGGACUGAGACACGGCCCAAACUCCUACGGGAGGCAGCAGUAGGGAAUCUUCCACAAUGGACGAAAGUCUGAUGGAGCAACGCCGCGUGAGUGAAGAAGGGUUUCGGCUCGUAAAACUCUGUUGUUAAAGAAGAACAUAUCUGAGAGUAACUGUUCAGGUAUUGACGGUAUUUAACCAGAAAGCCACGGCUAACUACGUGCCAGCAGCCGCGGUAAUACGUAGGUGGCAAGCGUUGUCCGGAUUUAUUGGGCGUAAAGCGAGCGCAGGCGGUUUUUUAAGUCUGAUGUGAAAGCCUUCGGCUCAACCGAAGAAGUGCAUCGGAAACUGGGAAACUUGAGUGCAGAAGAGGACAGUGGAACUCCAUGUGUAGCGGUGAAAUGCGUAGAUAUAUGGAAGAACACCAGUGGCGAAAGCGGCUGUCUGGUCUGUAACUGACGCUGAGCUCGAAAGUAUGGGUAGCAAACAGGAUUAGAUACCCUGAUAGUCCAUACCGUAAACGAUGAAUGCUAAGUGUUGGGAGGGUUUCCGCCCUUCAGUGCUGCAGCUAACCGCAUUAAGCAUUUCCGCCUGGGGAGUACGGCCGGCAAGGGCUGAAACUCAAAGGGAAUUGACGGGGGCCCGCCACAAGCCGGUGGAGCAUGUGCUUAAUUCGAAGCUACGCGAAGACCUUUACCAGUCUGACAUACUAUGCAAAUCUAGAGAAUAAGACGUUCCUUCGGAAUUGAUACAGUGUGCAUGGUGGUCGUCAGCUCGGUCCUGAAUGUGGUAGUCCGCAACGAGCCCACCCUUAUUAUCAGUUGCCAGCAAUAGAUUGACCUUGUGAACUGCGGUAACAACCGU
RNAcentral lists this ribosomal RNA (1139 nucleotides) under Lactiplantibacillus plantarum. RNAcentral describes it as "bacterial SSU rRNA". It matches the Rfam family "Bacterial small subunit ribosomal RNA", at positions 43 to 1153 of the family's 1533-position model. The record is from RNAcentral. Lineage: Bacteria; Bacillati; Bacillota; Bacilli; Lactobacillales; Lactobacillaceae.